RNAcentral lists this ribosomal RNA (865 nucleotides) under uncultured bacterium. RNAcentral describes it as "partial 16S ribosomal RNA". It matches the Rfam family "Bacterial small subunit ribosomal RNA", at positions 638 to 1532 of the family's 1533-position model. The record is from RNAcentral.
GCAGCUGAGUCUGUAGAGGGAGUAGAAUCAGNUGUAGCGNGAAUGCGUANNNAUNGNGAANNNNNNNANGNNCCCNGANGAGACUGACNUCAGGUGCGAAAGCGNNGGGAGCAACAGAUUAGAUACCNGUAGUCCACGCGUAAACGAUGUCGACUGAANUUGUGCCCUUGAGCGUGACUUCCGAGCUAACGCGUUAAGUCGACCGCUAAGGGAGUACGGCCGCAAGGUUAAAACUCAAAUGAAUUGACGAGGGCCCGCACAAGCGGUGGAGCAUGUGGUUUAAUUCGAUGCAACGCGAAGAACCUUACCUGGUCUUGACAUCCACGGAAGUUUUCAGAGAUGAGAAUGUGCCUUCGGGAACCGUGAGACAGGUGCUGCAUGGCUGUCGUCAGCUCGUGUUGUGAAAUGUUGGGUUAAGUCCCGCAACGAGCGCAACCCUUAUCCUUUGUUGCCAGCGGUCCGGCCGGGAACUCAAAGGAGACUGCCAGUGAUAAACUGGAGGAAGGUGGGGAUGACGUCAAGUCAUCAUGGCCCUUACGACCAGGGCUACACACGUGCUACAAUGGCGCAUACAAAGAGAAGCGACCUCGCGAGAGCAAGCGGACCUCAUAAAGUGCGUCGUAGUCCGGAUUGGAGUCUGCAACUCGACUCCAUGAAGUCGGAAUCGCUAGUAAUCGUGGAUCAGAAUGCCACGGUGAAUACGUUCCCGGGCCUUGUACACACCGCCCGUCACACCAUGGGAGUGGGUUGCAAAAGAAGUAGGUAGCUUAACCUUCGGGAGGGCGCUUACCACUUUGUGAUUCAUGACUGGGGUGAAGUCGUAACAAGGUAACCGUAGGGGAACCUGCGGCUGGAUCACCUCCUU